RNAcentral lists this ribosomal RNA (608 nucleotides) under Ogataea henricii. RNAcentral's name for it is "eukaryotic LSU rRNA". It matches the Rfam family "Eukaryotic large subunit ribosomal RNA", at positions 38 to 667 of the family's 3401-position model. Lineage: Eukaryota; Fungi; Ascomycota; Pichiomycetes; Pichiales; Pichiaceae. The record is from RNAcentral.
GCAUAUCAAUAAGCGGAGGAAAAGAAACCAACAGGGAUUGCCUUAGUAGCGGCGAGUGAAGCGGCAAGAGCUCAAAUUUGAAAUCUGGUACCUUCGGUGCCCGAGUUGUAAUUUGAAGAAAGCUGUCUUGGAGUUGGCCUUUGUCUAUGUUCCUUGGAACAGGACGUCACAGAGGGUGAGAAUCCCGUGCGAUGAGGUGUCCAAUUCUUUAUAAGACGUUUUCGAAGAGUCGAGUUGUUUGGGAAUGCAGCUCAAAGUGGGUGGUAAAUUCCAUCUAAAGCUAAAUAUUGGCGAGAGACCGAUAGCGAACAAGUACUGUGAAGGAAAGAUGAAAAGAACUUUGAAAAGAGAGUGAAAAAGUACGUGAAAUUGUUGAAAGGGAAGGGUAUUCAAUCAGACUUGGUAUUUAGUUAUCAUUACUCCUUGUGGGUGGUGCUCUAGCUUUUUACUGGGCCAGCAUCAGUUUUGGUGGCAAGAUAAUGGCAGUUGAAUGUAGCUCAUUGAGUAUUAUAGCUUCUGCUGAUAUUGCCUACUGAGACUGAGGUCUGCGGCUUUUGCCUAGGAUGCUGGCGUAAUGAUUGAAUACCGCCCGUCUUGAAACACGGACC